GCCAGGUGUGGUGGCUCAUGCCUGUAAUCCCAGCUGCUAGGGAGGCUGAGGCAGGAGGAUCAGAGUUCAAAGCUAGCCUCAGCAAUGGUGAAGCGCUAAGCAACUCUUUGAGACCCCGUCUCUA
Molecule: small RNA, 124 nt
Filed under: Marmota monax (woodchuck)
Lineage: Eukaryota; Metazoa; Chordata; Mammalia; Rodentia; Sciuridae
Source: RNAcentral